Molecule: ribosomal RNA, 273 nt
Filed under: uncultured bacterium
Lineage: Bacteria
Description: partial 16S ribosomal RNA
Rfam family: Bacterial small subunit ribosomal RNA
Source: RNAcentral
CCGGUGGUAUGAGAUGGACCCGCGUCUGAUUAGGUAGUUGUGGGGUAAAGGCCUACCAAGCCGACGAUCAGUAGCCGACCUGAGAGGGUGACCGGCCACAUUGGGACUGAGACACGGCCCAAACUCCUACGGGAGGCAGCAGUGGGGAAUAUUGCACAAUGGGGGAAACCCUGAUGCAGCGACGCCGCGUGAAGGAAGAAGUAUUUCGGUAUGUAAACUUCAUCAGCAGGGAAGAAAAUGACGGUACCUGAGUAAGAAGCACCGGCUAAAUAC